CUCAAAUCCAAGGAAGUAUUUAAGCUUUCCCAAAUCAGUCAUCUCAAAGUGUGUACAUUGAUGCAUCACAGUCGCUUCUCUUGCAUCCUUGUGACAUGAAGUAUGAGUCAAUCUUGUUGUACCAAGCCCUUGGAGCCUGCUUUAGACCAUACAAAGCCUUCUUCAAUUUGUAAACCAUAUUCUCUGCUCCCUCUAUCUCAAAGCCAGCAAGUGCUAUUAGGGCUUUAAUUGUAUCAUGUCUAGAUACAGGGGCAAACGUUUCUCCAUAGGU
Molecule: non-coding RNA, 271 nt
Organism: Camelina sativa (false flax)
Lineage: Eukaryota; Viridiplantae; Streptophyta; Magnoliopsida; Brassicales; Brassicaceae
Source: RefSeq, a predicted model, not a curated record